RNAcentral lists this ribosomal RNA (153 nucleotides) under ANME-2 cluster archaeon. RNAcentral's name for it is "partial 16S ribosomal RNA". It matches the Rfam family "Archaeal small subunit ribosomal RNA", at positions 1 to 154 of the family's 1478-position model. Lineage: Archaea; Methanobacteriati; Methanobacteriota; Methanomicrobia; Methanosarcinales. The record is from RNAcentral.
AUUCUGGUUGAUCCUGCCAGAGGCUACUGCUAUCGGGGUUCGAUUAAGCCAUGCGAGUUAAAUGUUCUUCGUGAACAUAGCGAACUGCUCAGUAACACGUGGAUAACCUACCCUUAGGACCGGAAUAACCCCGGGAAACUGGGGAUAAUACCG